RNAcentral lists this ribosomal RNA (246 nucleotides) under uncultured bacterium. Its description in RNAcentral is "partial 16S ribosomal RNA". It matches the Rfam family "Bacterial small subunit ribosomal RNA", at positions 1 to 250 of the family's 1533-position model. The record is from RNAcentral.
UCAGAUUGAUCAUGGCUCAGGAUGAACGCUAGCGGCAGGCUUAACACAUGCAAGUCGAGGGGCAGCGGGGUGUAGCAAUACACUGCCGGCGACCGGCGCACGGGUGCGUAACGCGUAUGCAACCUACCCAUAACAGGGGCAUAACACUGAGAAAUUGGUACUAAUUCCCCAUAACAUUCGAAGAGGCAUCUCUUUGGGUUGAAAACUCCGGUGGUUAUGGAUGGGCAUGCGUUGUAUUAGCUAGUU